This 106-nucleotide ribosomal RNA is filed under the name Mastacembelus armatus (zig-zag eel). The record is from RNAcentral. Lineage: Eukaryota; Metazoa; Chordata; Actinopteri; Synbranchiformes; Mastacembelidae.
CCUCACUGUCCUGUGAGUGACUGAUCCCAUUCGAUCUUGGAAGCUAAGCUGUCCCUGGUUAGUACUUGGAUGGGAAACCACCUUGGAAGACCAGGGGCCGUUAGAC